UACGAAGGGGGCUAGCGUUGUUCGGAAUCACUGGGCGUAAAGCGCACGUAGGCGGUCUUUUAAGUCGGGGGUGAAAUCCUGGAGCUCAACUCCAGAACUGCCUUCGAUACUGGAAGACUUGAGUCCGGGAGAGGUGAGUGGAACUGCGAGUGUAGAGGUGAAAUUCGUAGAUAUUCGCAAGAACACCAGUGGCGAAGGCGGCUCACUGGACCGGUAUUGACGCUGAGGUGCGAAAGCGUGGGGAGCAAACAGG
RNAcentral lists this ribosomal RNA (253 nucleotides) under uncultured bacterium. Its description in RNAcentral is "partial 16S ribosomal RNA". It matches the Rfam family "Bacterial small subunit ribosomal RNA", at positions 524 to 776 of the family's 1533-position model. The record is from RNAcentral.